Molecule: long non-coding RNA, 3054 nt
Organism: Oncorhynchus tshawytscha (Chinook salmon)
Lineage: Eukaryota; Metazoa; Chordata; Actinopteri; Salmoniformes; Salmonidae
Source: Ensembl
CCUGAGCCUGGAAAGAAAUGGCGGACGGCAGCGUGGCGUGUGUGUUUGUGGUUUCUCUCAAUGUGUAUCAACCCUGGGGCGGCAGGUAGCCUAUUGGUUAGAGCGUUCGGCCAGUAACCGAAAGGUUUCUAGAUUGAAUAACCAAGCUGACAAGGUGUCUGCCUGUCUGUCCCUCCAUGGUGUCUGUGAACUUGUCCGGGAACCUGGCGGUGACCUAGGUGGUACUCCAAAGCCUCCUCUCCACCUAGCGACCUUUGACCUAUCUCAACCUCCAAGGCACAGUAGGCCUAUAGUAGUCAUCUCUCGAGGAUCAGAUGAUGACACGGGUACCAGAAGGGUCAGAAAGACAUGGAAGACCAGCUGCUUCCAGUUCCUCCUUAGGACGGCCAUAUUCACCAGCCUGUGCCCAGGGUCCCUUGCCCUCCAAUAUCUCCUCCCAUGUCCAUUCCUCCAGAAAGCGCUGCUCCUCCUCACCACGCUGCUUGGUCCGUUUGUGGUGGGAAGUUCUGUCACGACUGUCGUUCAAGGAAGACCAAGGUGCAGCGUGUGUCGUUGUCCUCCAGUAGGGGAUUCUCUCUGAGGACAACUGACAACGACAUCCAACCUUCCAAGUCACCCCAGACCCGCCACAGCACUCAGCAGGUCAGAGACACAGACUAGACUAACCCAGCUGUCUGGCAAUCAUCUCCACGACGACCUCUUCCCAGAGCUGGACGCCCCUACAAUGCCCGGACUCCACCUCCUGAAAGUGGGAGUGUAUGUGGGAGUGUCUUAAGACGACAGUGAAUGCCUUGGAAGGGCAUCCUCAACUUUCUUUCCCGGUUAUUUAUUAUAGGUCAUUUGUAUUUACUUUGUUAAAUUUGUAUAAAGUCAGUGUCAUUUUUUGAGUUAAAUUUGUAUAAAGUUAUUGUCAUUUUUUGAGUAGUUGAUAUUGUUUGCUGGGGAAAUACUCUCAGCUGGACAGCAAGUGAUGCUAUGAAAGUCUGGGGUCUCAUUUAUAGUUCGCACAAAACAUACCCCAAAACAUUUGUUUUACACAGAAAUUGGCAUUUAUAAAAAACUGAACUUGUAGUGAUAAUGUGCUUUUAUUCCAGCAAGCUUUAGACCAUGCGUAUGCACAGAAGGUUAUUGCAUUGCAAGCAAGCAAGUAGGGGAUACCUAGUCAGUGAACUGCAGACUUUUCCACCUUGCCGGAUCAGGGAUUCAAACCUUUUCUGGCCAUGAUGGGUUCAUAUUCCCAAAGUAGCUUUAGCCUGCAACAAAUGACCAUGUGCAUCUCUCAUUUAAUCAGGCUGCUAUUAAGUAUUUUGCUCUAUGUAUCCGAAAGGCAGCACAGAUUUAAUAUACAGUAGAGUUGAACAGAUGAACAGACAGUUGAUAUUUGGCAUUGAAGUGUGUAGGCUACCGCUGUAAGUGGGCCUACUAUAAAUGUACAUUUUUGGGGUGGAGUAGACUGACAGUGCAUUCAUUAUAUUUAGGUUUGGGAAAAAGUAAACGCUAAAUAUUAUUGAAUUCAAGUGAUCUAUUUACAGGUUUUCGACAAUUUGCUAUUGAUUUCUUUCUUUAAGAAACUGACCCACCAGAGACAGGCCCUACAGCAAAUGUCACUGGAAAAGUUAAAAACAUUCUGCCAACACCUCCAGAGACAUUUGAUCAAGCUCACCAUAUAUAUUCUUUAGAAACUUCCUUGUCCUAAUUCCAAUACUUCCAAAGUAUACAGCAAAAUAGGGGCAUUAUUUUCACUAUAAAAGGUGAAUGAUGAGCUCUUUACAGGUGGAGUUAUUACACACGUUCACAUGUGCUCCGUUUCAAGAAGGGUAUGGUUUAUAACCAGAAACAUGCAUAUAUAUGAAUGUUGUUUCAGAAGUAUCUGCACCCCACCAAGACAAACACCGUGGGAAACACUGACAUAUGAAACUGACUUUUAAGACUCUGGCUGUGCUAUGGCCCUAUAUGGCCUUGUAUCCUCUGUUCAGUGAUGGUCACAGCACCACCCCCUCUUUCUGCAGGGAGCAGUGGGUGUGCGACAGGCCAGGCUAGGUGUUUGUGGUUGGAAAUAGGUCUGAUUGGUGUGUGAGGCUGUCUUCUAGUGGUCUGUGUAAUUUGAGAAAUAUUGUCUGAAAUCCAUGUCAAUUCUGAAUAAUAUGUGGCAGUAACGUUCUUAUCCAUCAAAAGUUCAACUCAAGUAAUUUAUUUUCAGACAAGUUGAAUACAUUUUAAAGGCAGACAUUUUUUACUGUAUUUGUCAGACAAUCAUUAACCAAUCCAGCAGUUUUACACUGAUGUGCUUAAUAUAUGCCAUCUGGUUUGCUUAAUAUAACACAUUUGAAAUUAUUAUACGUUCACUUUUGAUACUUAAGUAUAUUUAAAACCAAAUUCUUUUAGACUUUUACUUAAGUAGUAUUUUACUGGGUGACUUUCACUUAUAUUACAGUAUCUUUACUUUUACUCAAGUACAAAUAUUGGGUUCUUUUUCCACCACUGAAAGUCUCAAACUGAACUGCAUCUCUGUCUCUGCCUGAUCUUUAAGUCCCACUGUAGAUGGGCAUCACCAUAAACCUCACCUGACCAUGCUUUCUGGAAGAAAUGUUUGGGGUGUGGUCAUUUUUUUCUGAAUGCUACGUGUUGAGUUUGACCCAUCCAAUGAGUUUAUUCAUUUGACAAUAUUCAAGAUGUUCAUUAUGUAAAAUCACUGCAAUUGAUGUCCUUUUUGUUUUCAGUUGGUUUGUUUCGAUAAGCUUUGCUGGUUUGAGAUCCAGGCAGCUUAUUGGCAGCACCCUCCAAUAAAGGUGUCUUCAAGUAGUAAUUUGUAUUUCUAAAAAUCUAUUGCUUAUGUAAAUGCAGUGGUUAACUGUUAUUUAUUUUCUACCAUCAGAAAUACAGUAUUGUUAGUCAUUAUUUUUGGUCCUCUUGUGAUCUUGGUCAUCUGAAUCUCUGUGAAAGCACUGUUUUAUUUUUAAAAACUAUCUCGAGGAAGUAACAGAUUUAAGUCAUUUUGGUGUACUCUUGUUAAUGUGUGUUAUUUAUCUUUCAAACAAGCUAACCUACUGUAAU